UACAGAGGUCCCAAGCGUUGUUCGGAUUCACUGGGCGUAAAGGGUGCGUAGGCGGCCUGGUAAGUCUGUUGUGAAAUCUCCAAGCUUAACUUGGAAACUGCAGUGGAUACUAUCCGGCUAGAGGAAUGGAGGGGAGACUGGAAUACUUGGUGUAGCAGUGAAAUGCGUAGAUAUCAAGUGGAACACCGGUGGCGAAGGCGGGUCUCUGGGCCGAUACUGACGCUGAGGAGCGAAAGCGUGGGGAGCGAACAGG
Molecule: ribosomal RNA, 253 nt
Filed under: uncultured bacterium
Lineage: Bacteria
Description: partial 16S ribosomal RNA
Rfam family: Bacterial small subunit ribosomal RNA
Source: RNAcentral